ACGUGUUGAUGACUUCCAACUUUUUACCCAUCUUAUCAAGUUUUCACUUUUCACCAAAAGCGUUUUUGGUUUCCAGAACAAGAGAAAAAGAUCACAGACAGAAGAGAGUGCCGGUGACCGGUCACGAUCACCAAGCCGCCCCGCAACGCAGAGAGAAAGAGAAGAGAUAAAAACCCGGCCAACCCUCCAUCUCAGCCCUUCUUCGCCGUUUGUGGUGGCUAUAGGCGAUGCCGAUGAUAACCAGGGUUCCGACGCACAGCGGUGGUCUUUUCCGGUACAACAGAUGACCAGGAAAUUCCAUAGAUCGUUUACAUGCAACAUCUGUUUUUUGUAGGCUAACUCAGAUCUGGAUUUCAACCCACCGUCAACUCAUCAUAUGGAUUCCUAGCUUUUGAAACCUCCGCUGUUUAUCUAGCCUGCAAUCACCACCGCCAUAACAGUCUAGCGGGAGGUUCUGGACUAGAAUCUACUGGAAGGACUAAAUUCAAGCAUAUAACUGGAAGUUUUUAAGCUAAUACCAAAUUUUGAACUGGGCUUCUUGACAUUAUUAGAUGAGUGUAAUGAUAAUUGUGACAACAGACAACAAUAAAUCCGUACCAAUUAAAAAUAUCUCAUGUAUGAAUUAUCUUUUGUUCACUUUAAAUUUAGAUUUGUGAUUUUUCAUAUUUAGGCCAGGGGGUGUGGUACUGUGGUAUACCGCCUCUGGCCACAUCACCUUUGUUAGCGCUUCAUUGCGCCCCUUAGCCACCCCCUGCCCGCCAAAGAGGGGGCACCAUUGAUGGCAUGCCAGCACGCUAACGAACGCUAAAGGGUGUGUGCGGGUGGGCUUUAAACCAUCAACCAAUCAAAUAUGUUGUUUUUUUUUAUUUUGUUUAAUAGGGGGUUUAAACCAUUGCAUGCAAUUUAAACCCUCUUGUGGAUCUGACAUGAAACUAUAAAGCCCGUAGGGCCACACCCCCAGCCUUUUGAUUCAUGAAUUUUUAACAAUUUAACUCAAUUGAUAUCUGGAACACAGUCAGUAUUACUGCCCAGAAUGCUAGGGUCAGUCUUCGCUUGACCAAUAUCUGUAGACAAGCAAUGAUCAGCGUACAAUUCCUGAAAAAUUAAAUGUCGUCUAUAUGGACGUUGAAGAAGUUUACCAUCGAAAUAUUCAUAUCGAAAGUGUCAUUCAUGCGGCAACAGAGUCAAAUCCCACCUAAAUGGGAUUAACAUAUUGGUUCCAAA
Molecule: long non-coding RNA, 1224 nt
Organism: Helianthus annuus (common sunflower)
Lineage: Eukaryota; Viridiplantae; Streptophyta; Magnoliopsida; Asterales; Asteraceae
Exons: 3
Source: RefSeq, a predicted model, not a curated record